AGGACGAACGCUGGCGGCGUGCUUAACACAUGCAAGUCGAACGGAAAGGCCCAGCUUGCUGGGUACUCGAGUGGCGAACGGGUGAGUAACACGUGGGUGAUCUGCCCCAAACUUCGGGAUAAGCCUGGGAAACUGGGUCUAAUACCGGAUAUGACCUGCUCCUGCAUGGGGGUUGGUGGAAAGCUUUUGCGGUUUGGGAUGGGCCCGCGGCCUAUCAGCUUGUUGGUGGGGUAAUGGCCAACCAAGGCGACGACGGGUAGCCGACCUGAGAGGGUGUUCGGCCACACUGGGACUGAGACACGGCCCAGACUCCUACGGGAGGCAGCAGUGGGGAAUAUUGCACAAUGGGCGCAAGCCUGAUGCAGCGACGCCGCGUGAGGGAUGACGGCCUUCGGGUUGUAAACCUCUUUCGCCAGGGACGAAGCGCAAGUGACGGUACCUGGAGAAGAAGCACCGGCCAACUACGUG
Molecule: ribosomal RNA, 468 nt
Filed under: uncultured bacterium
Lineage: Bacteria
Description: bacterial SSU rRNA
Rfam family: Bacterial small subunit ribosomal RNA
Source: RNAcentral